This 393-nucleotide ribosomal RNA is filed under the name uncultured bacterium. RNAcentral's name for it is "partial 16S ribosomal RNA". It matches the Rfam family "Bacterial small subunit ribosomal RNA", at positions 523 to 918 of the family's 1533-position model. The record is from RNAcentral.
AUACGGAGGAUCCGAGCGUUAUCCGGAUUUAUUGGGUUUAAAGGGAGCGUAGGCGGACGCUUAAGUCUGUUGUGAAAGCUUGCGGCUCAACCGUAGAAUUGCAGUUGAUACUGGGUGACUUGAGUGCAGUAGAGGAAGGCGGAACUCGUGGUGUAGCGGUGAAAUGCUUAGAUAUUACGAAGAACACCAAUGGCGAAGGCAGCUCACUAGACUGUUACUGACACUGAUGCUCGAAAGUGUGGGUAUCAAACAGGAUUAGAUACCCUGGUAGUCCACACAGUAAACGAUGAAUACUCGCUGUUUGCGAUAUACAGUAAGCGGCCAAGCGAAAGCAUUAAGUAUUCCACCUGGGGAGUACGCCGGCAACGGUGAAACUCAAAGGAAUUGGCGGGG